CUUUUGCUGGUGACCGGCGCACGGGUGAGUAACACGUAUCCAACCUGCCUUUACUCGGGGAUAGCCUUUCGAAAGAAAGAUUAAUACCCGAUAGCAUAAUGAUUCCGCAUGGUUUCAUUAUUAAAGGAUUCCGGUAAAGGAUGGGGAUGCGUUCCAUUAGGUUGUUGGUGAGGUAACGGCUCACCAAGCCUUCGAUGGAUAGGGGUUCUGAGAGGAAGGUCCCCCACAUUGGAACUGAGACACGGUCCAA
This 250-nucleotide ribosomal RNA is filed under the name uncultured bacterium. Its description in RNAcentral is "partial 16S ribosomal RNA". It matches the Rfam family "Bacterial small subunit ribosomal RNA", at positions 78 to 334 of the family's 1533-position model. The record is from RNAcentral.